This 482-nucleotide ribosomal RNA is filed under the name uncultured bacterium. Its description in RNAcentral is "partial 16S ribosomal RNA". It matches the Rfam family "Bacterial small subunit ribosomal RNA", at positions 28 to 523 of the family's 1533-position model. The record is from RNAcentral.
GACGAACGCUGGCGGCGUGCUUAACACAUGCAAGUCGAACGAUGAACCGGAGCUUGCUCUGGGGAUUAGUGGCGAACGGGUGAGUAACACGUGGGCAACCUGCCCCAGACACCGGGAUAACCAUUCGGAAGGAUGGCUAAUACCGGAUACGACCACUUCGGGCAUCCGAUGGUGGUGGAAAGGAUUCUGGUCUGGGAUGGGCCCGCGGCCUAUCAGCUUGUUGGUGGGGUAAUGGCCUACCAAGGCGACGACGGGUAGCCGGCCUGAGAGGGCGACCGGCCACACUGGGACUGAGACACGGCCCAGACUCCUACGGGAGGCAGCAGUGGGGAAUAUUGCGCAAUGGGCGAAGGCCUGACGCAGCGACGCCGCGUGAGGGACGAAGGUCUUCGGAUUGUAAACCUCUUUCAGCAGGGAUGAAGCGAAAGUGACAGUACCUGCAGAAGAAGCACCGGCUAACUACGUGCCAGCCGCCGCCGUAA